GAACUUAGCUUAGUGGCGGACGGGUGAGUAACGCGUGAGUAACCUGCCUUUCAGAGGGGGAUAACGUUCUGAAAAGAACGCUAAUACCGCAUAAUAUAUUGGUGUCGCAUGGCACCGGUAUCAAAGGAGCAAUCCGCUGAAAGAUGGACUCGCGUCCGAUUAACCAGUUGGCGGGGUAAAGGCCCACCAAAGCGACGAUCGGUAGCCGGGUUGAGAGACUGAACGGCCACAUUGGGACUGAGACACGGCCCAGACUCCUACGGGAGGCAGCAGUGGGGGAUAUUGCACAAUGGAGGAAACUCUGAUGCAGCAAUGCCGCGUGAGGGAAGACGGUCUUCGGAUUGUAAACCUCUGUCCUUGGUGAAGAUAAUGACGGUAGCCAAGGAGGAAGCUCCGGCUAACUACGUGCCAGCAGCCGCGGUAAUACGUAGGGAGCAAGCGUUGUCCGGAUUUACUGGGUGUAAAGGGUGCGUAGGCGGCUCUUUAAGUCGGGCGUGAAAGCUGUGGGCUUAACCCACAAAUUGCGUUCGAAACUGGAGGGCUUGAGUGAAGUAGAGGUAGGCGGAAUUCCCGGUGUAGCGGUGAAAUGCGUANAGAUCGGGAGGAACACCAGUGGCGAAGGNGGCCUACUGGGCUUUAACUGACGCUGAGGCACGAAAGCAUGGNUAGCAAACAGG
This 677-nucleotide ribosomal RNA is filed under the name uncultured bacterium. Its description in RNAcentral is "bacterial SSU rRNA". It matches the Rfam family "Bacterial small subunit ribosomal RNA", at positions 83 to 776 of the family's 1533-position model. The record is from RNAcentral.